This 301-nucleotide ribosomal RNA is filed under the name uncultured bacterium. RNAcentral's name for it is "partial 16S ribosomal RNA". It matches the Rfam family "Bacterial small subunit ribosomal RNA", at positions 509 to 807 of the family's 1533-position model. The record is from RNAcentral.
CAGUAGCCACGGGAAUAUGUAGGGUGCAAGCGUUAAUCGGAAUUACUGGGCGUAAAGCGUGCGCAGGCGGUUUGUUAAGACAGAUGUGAAAUCCCCGGGCUCAACCUGGGAACUGCAUUUGUGACUGGCAAGCUAGAGUGUGGCAGAGGGGGGUGGAAUUCCGCGUGUAGCAGUGAAAUGCGUAGAUAUGCGGAGGAACACCGAUGGCGAAGGCAGCCCCCUGGGCCAACACUGACGCUCAUGCACGAAAGCGUGGGGAGCAAACAGGAUUAGAUACCCCAGUAGUCCCUGUCUCUUAUAC